This 82-nucleotide microRNA precursor is filed under the name Punica granatum (pomegranate). Its description in RNAcentral is "mir-395 microRNA precursor family". It matches the Rfam family "mir-395 microRNA precursor family". Rfam says of the family: mir-395 was identified in both Arabidopsis thaliana and Oryza sativa computationally and was later experimentally verified. mir-395 is thought to target mRNAs coding for ATP sulphurylases. The mature sequence is excised from the 3' arm of the hairpin. Lineage: Eukaryota; Viridiplantae; Streptophyta; Magnoliopsida; Myrtales; Lythraceae. The record is from Rfam by way of RNAcentral.
GAGUCUUCUAGAGUUCCCCUUUAACACUUCAUUGGGAGAGAAAAUUUCCUACUGAAGUGUUUGGGGGAACUCCUGAUGUCUC